RNAcentral lists this ribosomal RNA (497 nucleotides) under uncultured bacterium. RNAcentral describes it as "partial 16S ribosomal RNA". It matches the Rfam family "Bacterial small subunit ribosomal RNA", at positions 28 to 507 of the family's 1533-position model. The record is from RNAcentral.
GAUGAACGCUGGCGGCGUGCCUAAUACAUGCAAGUCGAGCGAACGGACGAGAAGCUUGCUUCUCUGAUGUUAGCGGCGGACGGGUGAGUAACACGUGGAUAACCUACCUAUAAGACUGGGAUAACUUCGGGAAACCGGAGCUAAUACCGGAUAAUAUUUUGAACCGCAUGGUUCAAAAGUGAAAGACGGUCUUGCUGUCACUUAUAGAUGGAUCCGCGCUGCAUUAGCUAGUUGGUAAGGUAACGGCUUACCAAGGCAACGAUGCAUAGCCGACCUGAGAGGGUGAUCGGCCACACUGGAACUGAGACAAGGUCCAGACUCCUACGGGAGGCAGCAGUAGGGAAUCUUCCGCAAUGGGCGAAAGCCUGACGGAGCAACGCCGCGUGAGUGAUGAAGGUCUUCGGAUCGUAAAACUCUGUUAUUAGGGAAGAACAUAUGUGUAAGUAACUGUGCACAUCUUGACGGUACCUAAUCAGAAAGCCACGGCUAACUACGUG